Unclassified non-coding RNA from Aotus nancymaae (Ma's night monkey), 88 nucleotides. It matches the Rfam family "Y RNA". Rfam says of the family: Y RNAs are components of the Ro ribonucleoprotein particle (Ro RNP), in association with Ro60 and La proteins. The Y RNAs and Ro60 and La proteins are well conserved, but the function of the Ro RNP is not known. The record is from Ensembl. NCBI's taxonomy places the organism in Eukaryota, Metazoa, Chordata, Mammalia, Primates, Aotidae.
GGCUGAGCCCAGUGCAGUAGUGUUUAUAACCAGUUACAGAUUUCUUUGUUUCUUCUCUACUCCCACUGUUUCACUUGACUAGCCUUUA